This is a small nucleolar RNA of Jaculus jaculus (lesser Egyptian jerboa), 131 nucleotides long. RefSeq annotates it as small nucleolar RNA SNORA58. The transcript has a single exon. NCBI's taxonomy places the organism in Eukaryota, Metazoa, Chordata, Mammalia, Rodentia, Dipodidae. The record is from RefSeq and is a predicted model, not a curated record.
UGGCAUACCCGUAGACCUUGCUUGGCUGCUUAUAGUCAGGCAGGGGGGACAGUGUGUGCAAGAGAAAUCGGUCUCUGCAAAUGUUAACCAGCUUAUUCAGUGACUGGAUAAACUGCAGUACUCCAACAUUC